AGUCGAACGUGAAAGCACUUCGGUGUGAGUAGAGUGGCGGACGGGUGAGUAACGCGUGGGAAUCUGCCCAGUAGUGGGGGACAACUACCGGAAACGGUAGCUAAUACCGCAUACGCCCUAUGGGGGAAAGGCUUCGGCCGCUAUUGGAUGAGCCCGCGUCAGAUUAGCUAGUUGGUAGGGUAAAGGCCUACCAAGGCAACGAUCUGUAGCUGGUCUGAGAGGACGAACAGCCACACUGGGACUGAGACACGGCCC
RNAcentral lists this ribosomal RNA (255 nucleotides) under uncultured Gammaproteobacteria bacterium. Its description in RNAcentral is "partial 16S ribosomal RNA". It matches the Rfam family "Bacterial small subunit ribosomal RNA", at positions 60 to 332 of the family's 1533-position model. The record is from RNAcentral. Lineage: Bacteria; Pseudomonadati; Pseudomonadota; Gammaproteobacteria.